AAGGGCAUAGCUCAACUGGUAGAGUGCGUGCUUAGCAUGCAUGAGGUCCUGAGCUCAAUCCCCAGUACCUCCU
This 73-nucleotide transfer RNA is filed under the name Camelus bactrianus (Bactrian camel). It matches the Rfam family "tRNA". From Rfam's summary of the family: Transfer RNA (tRNA) molecules are approximately 80 nucleotides in length. The record is from Rfam by way of RNAcentral. RNAcentral also lists the same sequence under 2 other names. Lineage: Eukaryota; Metazoa; Chordata; Mammalia; Artiodactyla; Camelidae.